GGGAAACAAGAGCACUGAAGAAAAUCAAAGGGAAAUGGGCAGAGUGUUUAUCGAAGAGGGAGGGAUGGGGGUGGUUUGGCUGGCAUGGACGGAGUCUGAAUAUUCAAACAAAAGAGACCCCCACCUCACACUCCUGCAAAUAUUGUCUUAUCCAUUAGUGGAAGCAUGGAAAGAAAAGGGUAGUCUGUCAUUGUGGGGCUCAUGAAGGAGAAGUCAGGGGAGGAAUUCUUUUCAAAACCUCUUCUGCAGUGCUCAGUGGACAGGGCCAUUUGUUUGGCCUUAUUCAGACGCCGUAGACCGUGGCAACAAAGAGCGCUUUCAGUGCACCUCACUGUAAAAGCAUGUGAAAGAGAAAAGCAGGGCAUAGGAAAGAGAAGAAAGGCGUAAAAAAGAAGAAAACAACUUGAACGAGACAGGAAGGAAUUGUUAAAUUUAGAUAUGUUUAUAUGGACCUUUGCUUGUGUGUUUGUUUUUCCUCAUGCGGAACAUGGAAAAGCGUUAGUGGUGAAACUAAUAGAGUUAAACGGAACUGAGUCUUGAAGGAGAACGUUACUCAACACUCGCCUUUAAAAACUGACACCGUGCUGGCUCGCCAUAAACUCAACCGUGGUCUGGGACACCUGAGAACACUGUCAGCAUAACUCCUAUCUGACAUGAGAUGCAGCAUGUAUGGUUGGAGAGAAUACAUAGUGUUUUUCAAACCACUGGGAAGGAUGGAGUAUGACCUGCAUGAAAUAUGGUGUGGAUGGCAUUAUUGUACUUGGAACCAGGCACUGUACUCUAAGAAAUUAUGUGAAAACAUACAUGCCAUUAUAUACACUGGACAAAAUUAUAAACCAAACACUUUUGUUUUUGCCCCCAUUUUUCAUGAGCUGAACUCAAGACUUUGUCUAUGUACACAAAGGCCUAUUUCUCUCAAAUAUUGUUCACAAAUCUGUCUAAAUCUUUGUUAGUGAGCACUUCUCCUUUGCCGAGAUAAUCCAUCCACCUCACAGGUGUGGCAUAUCAAGAUGCUGAUUAGACAGCAUGAUUAUUGCUCAAGCCACCCUGAGUCAGGUUAAUGUGUAUAACAGAAUCAGAAACUGAGUAAACCGCGUUAUGAAAGCAGCAGCUCUCCCAGAUUUUAUGACUGGCUUAAACCAAACUGUGUGCAUACCACUAUUAGAAAUAAAUAGACAUUAACUUAAUACA
Molecule: long non-coding RNA, 1191 nt
Organism: Cyprinus carpio (common carp)
Lineage: Eukaryota; Metazoa; Chordata; Actinopteri; Cypriniformes; Cyprinidae
Source: Ensembl